AGCUUUAUGCAGUAGCAGUAUCAUAGGCAAUGAGGUUUACCCGAAGAGUGAUUAUUGCUAGUUGAAAAGCAGACAGAAGGGUGAUGUCAUUGUCAUUUGCUUAUUGCUUUGCCAUUUUGAGUAUUUUUCUAUAU
RNAcentral lists this small nuclear RNA (134 nucleotides) under Fukomys damarensis (Damara mole-rat). RNAcentral describes it as "U4 spliceosomal RNA". It matches the Rfam family "U4 spliceosomal RNA". From Rfam's summary of the family: U4 small nuclear RNA (U4 snRNA) is a component of the major U2-dependent spliceosome. The structure of U4 snRNA from yeast and human has been reported. Lineage: Eukaryota; Metazoa; Chordata; Mammalia; Rodentia; Bathyergidae. The record is from Rfam by way of RNAcentral.